GUCUUCUGAGCCUGCUGUCGGCCUUUGAGGUCGUGGUAUGGAUGACGGAUGGCUGGCCGCUGUAUGAAUCACGCCUGAAGGGAAAGCUGCACGUUAUCAGC
This 101-nucleotide ribosomal RNA is filed under the name Escherichia coli 1-392-07_S3_C2. RNAcentral describes it as "partial 16S ribosomal RNA". Lineage: Bacteria; Pseudomonadati; Pseudomonadota; Gammaproteobacteria; Enterobacterales; Enterobacteriaceae. The record is from RNAcentral.